This is an RNA transcript of Myxocyprinus asiaticus (Chinese sucker), 3309 nucleotides long. It is a transcript of the gene named major facilitator superfamily domain-containing protein 6-B-like, with no coding region annotated. Lineage: Eukaryota; Metazoa; Chordata; Actinopteri; Cypriniformes; Catostomidae. The record is from RefSeq and is a predicted model, not a curated record. The transcript has 7 exons.
GUUUUUGUAUUCAUCGUUUUGAACGCAGGUCAAAUUUUUAAAGCGCGUCUCUAGACAUGCAUUCUCGUUUUUGCGUUGCGCCGAGUCUACUUUUUCAUUUAUUUAUUUAUUUAUUUUAUUUAUUUUAGCGCAAGAACGCGUUCGAUCUGAACGGCCCCUUAAACAGAGACUAUGCUGGGAAACUUCAAACAUUGGAAGAUUUUCCCGCAAUUAAAAAUAAACAGGGUGGCACAGGCUCUCAAUGACAUCAAUGGAAAUGAAGGCCGUCCCAUGAACGCUUCGCCGCUGCGCACAUCGCAGGAGGGUGAGAGAUUGACGUCAGGUCAAAUGAAAAUAUGGCCAGAGAAUAAACCUGCUCUCCUGCUCUACCGGAAUACAUAGCUGUUUGAGGAUUAUCCGUAGAAAAGUGCGGAGAAAUCUGUGAUGGUGAUAAAAUGAUGGUUGGACGGAGAGACAGUCUGUUUAUGAAGGGAGCGUCUUCCUUCAGUGCGUGACGGUGAAAUAACAUAAACUUCUAAUAACACAAAUUGGUCACACAGAUAUGGCGAGUGAUCGGGUGGCCAUCCUUACGGAUGACGAGGAGGACCGGAAGAGGAAAUAUGUCCUAUCUGAACCAUUCAAUACCCUGUCCCUGUCCACCCCACCCAGUCAAACAGCACUCCCAGCCCCUACCAACACACUCCCUUCCCAACCCUCUCAGAAUAUGGGCUGCAUGGAGAGGUGCUGUGCACGAAUAGACAAUCAUCUCUUGAUAUCCAAGAUUUUCUACUUUUUCUUUUACUCUGCAUAUGGCUCCUUACACCCCUUGCUUGCCGUAUACUACAAGCAGCUGGGAAUGACACCCAGCCAGAGUGGCCUGCUAGUAGGGAUCCGUUAUUUCAUUGAGUUUUGCAGUGCGCCAUUCUGGGGCAUUGUGGCGGACCGCUACAAGAAAGGAAAGGCAGUUUUGCUAUUUUCUGUUUUCAGCUGGGUAGUGUUUAACUGCGGUAUUGGCUUUGUCAAGCCAGCAACUAUGAGCUGUGUCAUCAAGGACCCUACUAUGGCGCCACCAGCCAAUUUGACAAAUAAUACGCCAUCUGGCAACCAUACCAGACAACGAAGAUACUUGAUAGAAGGUUUAUACUCUGCAUAUGGACCUCACUCUAGACACAUUAGAAGUUUGAAUGUAAAUACCACAAAUGCUCCCAUUAGUAUGCCAUCUAACUUGACAACAGUGACACCCUUUACCUCUACGGUCACAUCAAAAUCUACCUCUACUACUGUAAUACAAACUACAAGUGCCAUCCUCAGAGAGUAUAUCAUAAUCUUCAAUAAGGAACAAGUAGACACUAUAUUCCUCUUGAUUCUGUUGGUGAUUAUUAUCGGCGAGUUCUUCAGUGCUCCAGCUGUGACUAUUGUGGAUACGGUCACACUUCAGUACCUGGGCCAGCACCGGGACCGUUAUGGACUCCAGAGGAUGUGGGGAUCUCUGGGCUGGGGUAUUGCAAUGUUGUCAGUGGGCAUAUGGAUUGACCACACGCACAUCACCAUCUUAAUCCAGGGCUCUGGUUGCAUCCUGCCCGACUACAAGAAUUACAUGAUUGCAUUUAUAGUUUUUGGAGUACUGAUGACCUCUGCCCUUAUUGUGGCCACUCAGUUUAACUUUGACAACAGGGUUUACCGGUCAGGUGAGGAGGAAGAUAAGAAGGAGGAUGUGGAAAUACCUCAAGUCGUUCAGGAGGUGACCCCUACCGAGUCUACUUCAGAUGAGGCACCUGUGUGUCCUGAAAGCAACCCCCAACAUUUUCCCUUUAAAGACUUGUUCCGGAUACUUUGUGGCAUCCGGUAUGGUACUGUUCUCUUUGUGGCCUGGUUCAUGGGGUUUGGUUAUGGCUUUGUGUUUACCUUCCUCUACUGGCAUCUGGAGGACCUGAAGGGUUCCACCACUCUCUUCGGCGUCUGUUCGGUGCUCAGCCAUUUGUCUGAGCUUGCCGCCUAUUUCACCAGCCACAAACUCAUUGAGCUAGUUGGACACAUCAGAGUCCUCUAUAUUGGGUUGGCCUGCAACACUGCACGCUAUCUGUACAUCUCCUACCUGGAGAACGCAUGGAUAGUUUUACCCAUGGAGGUGCUUCAAGGUUUGACCCAUGCUUCAGUGUGGGCGGCAUGCAUCUCGUAUUUGAGCGCAGCCGUCCCGCCAGCCCUGCGCACCUCGGCACAGGGGAUCCUGCAGGGUUUACAUCUGGGGUUAGGGAGAGGCUGUGGAGCAAUGCUUGGAGGAGUUUUUGUCAACUUUUUUGGUGCUGCAGAAACUUUCAGAGGCCUUGGAAUGGCCUCUCUGGUCACAUUAUUCAUCUUUUCUCUAAUUCAGUGCUUGUUUGGUCAAAAUGAGGAUAAAAAGGGCACAAUGCUGGCUGAGAACAUCCCAGUACCGUCCAGCCCAGUGCCUAUUGCCACCAUUGACUUAGUGCAGAACCAGACUGAGUCUCAGACAAAUCCUGAAUCCAUGACGCCUCCAAGGAAGACCAAGCUCCAGGAAGAGCAGGAGGACACCAAUAAGCCUGCCUGGGUGGUGUCUGCUUCACCCUGGGUUACCAUUGCUUUUGCCCUCUAUCAGAUCAGAGACAUGGUCGCUAUGACGAAAAACAACAACUGCAUUGAAAAUGAACCCCCGCAGGUAGGGUGGCACCCUUUGUGAUUUGGGAUGUGAACCUAAGGAGGAGGUGAACGUUUCACUCUUGCUGUUUACGACUUAAUAACAUUUAUUUCAAUACUAUUUCCUGCUAAUUUUCUUAAUUCUAUCUGUAUUAAUUUGUCAUCUUGGCUUUUUGGUAACUGUUCUGAAUACCAAUAUGGAGACCCCAUGAAAUCAAAAUUACAGCUUUGAGGCCAUCUAAAUGUUACUGGAGUGGACGAAAUGAACUUUUAGCAGAUAGAUGCAUUUAAAAUUUGGGAAACCAGACCAAAAAUAUUGAUGACUCCUGUUGCACUACAGUUUUUGUCCCAUCAAAUGCUCUCUAGAAUGAGAAUAAACUCUUUCAUAUAUGUCAAUGCAGAAAAGAAAAUGAUCUCACUAAGCGAUUUAAUGGGGUCUUUAAAUAUCUUGUACUGAUGGCUAAUUAUAUGGCACAUUUUUACUAAUUUAUUAAUUCUUUCUCUUUGCAUUUAUGCUGUCAUUUUCUCAGAGGAAAGGAGACAUGUGAGCAAACCUCAGUAACGCCACCUGCUGAUUUAUCUACAUCAUCACAACCCAAUUCAUCAUGUCCAACAGAAUUUCCCUCCCCAUUCCAACCUGCUGCCAGUUUAUUUGUUCUUCAAAACACAGAUCUU